UAAUACGAGGGGUGCUAGCGUUGUCCGGAAUCAUUGGGCGUAAAGGGUCCGUAGGUGUCUUUGCAAGUCGUUUGUUACAUUCACCGGCUUAACCGGUGGCCUGCAAUCGAAACUGCAAGGAUAGAGUUCGAGAGAGGAAAGUGGAAUUCCUGGUGUAGCGGUGACAUGCGUAGAUAUCAGGAGGAACACCAAUGGCGAAGGCAGCUUACUGGCUCGAUACUGACACUGAGGGACGAAAGCGUGGGGAGCAAACAGGAUUAGAUACCCUGGUAGUCCACGCCGUAAACGAUGAGUACUUGAUGUCGGAGGAUUCGACCCCUUCGGUAUCGUAGCUAACGCGUUAAGUACUCCGCCUGGGGACUACGGCCGCAAGGCUG
This 377-nucleotide ribosomal RNA is filed under the name uncultured Deferribacteres bacterium. RNAcentral's name for it is "bacterial SSU rRNA". It matches the Rfam family "Bacterial small subunit ribosomal RNA", at positions 521 to 896 of the family's 1533-position model. Lineage: Bacteria; Pseudomonadati; Deferribacterota; Deferribacteres. The record is from RNAcentral.